This 11209-nucleotide long non-coding RNA is filed under the name Homo sapiens (human). RNAcentral describes it as "non-protein coding LNCOC1:11". Lineage: Eukaryota; Metazoa; Chordata; Mammalia; Primates; Hominidae. The record is from RNAcentral.
AGCAGCGCGAGACCCUCGCCAGGCUCUGAAGACGCGGCCUGGCCCUGGCCGUUCGGCCCUUCGUCUGAGCGCAAAGGCUCCAGCACCUCCGCGGCCGAAGCCGCGGGACUUUUCGUGGAAAAUGGGACCCAGCCCGAUCGCCAGCGGCGCUGCAGCGGACUCUGCGGGAACCUAGCUUCUGCUCCAGGACCUCCAGGGCCACCCCAGCUCGCAGGGCGUUCGCAGCGGCUCAGGGCGAAUCACGCUCAUGGUCCCCGUGCGCAUUUUCAGCCCCAGCCGGUACCUCCUUACUCGCCCUCACGACAUUCAUUCCACCCCCUAAAGGUCCUGCCAACCCCAGGCUCUUCCCGAGCAUUCCCGCCCUUCCUCCCUUUUGAAACCGGAGCAAAUCACGGCCGGGCGGAAGCGGGGGAGCCCGGGUGAGAGUCAGUGACUCAGCUGCGGACUCCAAGUGUCGCCGGAGGCCCUGGGGCGCAGGCCCAGCGGGCUGUCGCACAGCUCGGCUGUCCUGUGCCCCUUCCUGACGAGGCUGGGGAGGAAAGGCGGCCCAGAGAAGGCCGGACCAGCUCUCCCCGUCAGCCCCAGGCUCUCGAAUGACAGCGGAUGCCAGCGACCGGGGAUGGGGUCCCGGAAUUGCUGGGUUAAACAAGCUCCGGAUUCAGGCCUGGGCCUGGGCUGGGGUUCCAGGGUUCUGGACCGCCCUCAAAGAAGGAGCUCCCUGGGGCGGCACCUGGCUCUGCUUGAUAGCCCCAGGGACAGGGAGCUCACUACCUAUCAGGGCAGCUCCCCCAGUGCCGAGACCAGCUCGGUCCUGGAGACCCUAACCCAGCGGUGCUAGAGGAAUUAAAGAUACACACAGAAAUAUAGAGGUGUGGAGUGGGAAAUCAGGCGUCUCACAGCCUUCAGAGCUGAGAGCCUCCAACAGAGAUUUACCCACGUGUUUAUUCACAGCAAGCCAGUGAUAAGCACAGUUUCUACAGAUUAUAGAUUAAAAGUACCCCUUAGGGAAACAAAGGGAUGGGCCAAAAUAAAGGGGUGGGUUUGGCUAGUUAUCUGCAGCAGGGGCAUGUCCUUAAGUCACAGAUGGCUCAUGCUAUUGUUUGUGGUUUAAGAACGCCUUUAAGCGGUUUUCUGCCCUGGGUGGGCCAGGUGUUCCUUGCCCUUAUUCCGGUAAACCCACAACCUCCCAGCGUGGGCAUCAUGGCCAUCAUGAACAUGUUACAGUGCUGCAGAGAUUUUGUUUAUGGCCAGAUUUUGGGGGCCUAUUCCCAACACCCUAGCAUUGCUCACACUUGUCCCUGAAGUGUCACCUUGUCGUAGCUGGGCUCUGAGCCCUCUGCCCCAGGGAGGGGUGGCCUUUUGGGCUGAAGGGACUGAGGACAUAGCCGUUGAGCCUGUUGGCCAUUGCUCAAAGAAUGCAGCCUCCUGGUCACCCAUGUUGUCCCCUUGCCAACAAAAAGAGUGAAACACUGUGCAAUGUUUGAAGAGAUUUAUUCUGAGCCAAAUCUAAGUGACUGUGGCCUGUCACACGGCCUCAGAAGAUCCUGAGAACUUGUACCCAGAGUGGUCAGCCUGCAACUGGGUUUUACAAAUUUUAGGGAGACAUAAGACAUCAAUGAAUACUUGCAGGAUGGACAUUGGUUUGGUCCAGAAAGGUGGGGACAACUGGAAGUGACAGAGGGACUUCUAGGUCAUAGGCAGAUUCAAAGAUUUUCUGAUUGGCAAUUGAUUGAAAGAGUUAAGUUGACCGGGCAUGGUGGGCCAUUUCUAUAAUCCUUGCCAUGGGGAGGCUGAGGACCAUUUGAGCCCAGGAGUUAGAUACCAGCUUGGGCAACAUAGAGAGACCUCACUUCUCCAAAAAAAAAAAAAAAAAAAAAGUUAUUUUUUAAAGACUUAGCAUUAAUAGAAAGGAAUGUCUGGUUAAGAUAAGGGGUCGUGGAGACCAGUGUUUCAUGAUCAGAUGAAGCCUCCAGGUAGCAGGCUUCAGAGAGAAUAGAUUGUAAAUGUUUCUCAUCAGACUUAAAGAGUCUGUUCUCUCAGUCUUUAAGGGGUGUGUUGAUGUUACUGCUGGUCAGCUGGGCCUGAAAUCCAAAGGGAGGAGGGUACAGUGAGGCAUAUCCAACACCCAUUUCCUGUCGUGGUCUGAACUAGUGUUUCAGGUUAACCCUGGACUGCCCUUGGUCAAGAGCAGGGGUGCAUUCAGAUGGUGGGGGUGCUUAGAAUUUCAUUUUUGGUUUACACCACUGUGUCCUCUCCUGCCAGGGGAGGGACCCAGAGCUGGAGGCUUAGCCCUGGAGAUACCGGUGAAGAUGGAUGAAUGAGAAACCAGUUGGAGCUUCCAAGCAGGCCUGUCGUCCAUCAGGAGAAGCAAAAGGUUUUAUUCUAGAGACAAGUCCUUCCAACUGUACAGCUGAUGGAGUAGCCAAGGAAACCUGGUAUGGACCCUUUCAUUUCUCAGUGAACUAAGCCUCUGGGCUUCCUUUUCGCCAUGUCUUGAGUAGGACCUGUGCACCUGGGCUAGCAGGGAAAUGAUCUGAAACUCCAUGACCCGGCUGAGGUCACAUCUUAUUAUCAUAUUGCAAGAUGGCCUGCUGAACUUGUCCCAAGUUAAUGAUGUAUUUUACCACCUGAUUUAAAUCUUCGUCUAGAAGAAAGUGGCUAGGAAGCGGCUAGCAACAGGAGGAGUGGGUUGGGCAGAUUCAUUCUGUCCCAGCUUCCUAGGAUGGAAUGAGCAGUCCCUUUCCCAGUGCCCCUCCUUCCUAUGGUAGGAACAUGGGUUACAGGAGCCAAGGGGCCAAGCCGCUCUGUCUGGGCCACCUGUUUGGCAGCUUCACCAGCUCAGCUGUCUCCUCGGCUGGUUAAAGAACUGCCUGCUGGGGCCCUUCAUGGUGCAUGACAGCUAUCUGGGCAGGGAGCUGAACUGCCUCAAGAAGGGACAGAAUCACUUUUUUAUGUUUUAUGGGGGAGCUCCUAGGAGUCCACAAUCUCCUCUCUUUCCAGACAGCUGCAUGAACAUGGAGCACUAGGAAUCCAUACUUAGAGGCAGGAUAUACAUUAAGUAUUUUCCUUCCCUUAGUUAAAGAGCCAUGACUAGGGCUUUGAGCUCUGCUUCAUGAGUGGAAGUGCUUGGGGCAAGGGCUUUUGCUUCUACAAUGUGGUUCAAGCCAACAGCAGCAUAGCUUGUCUUUUGGAUGCCAUUUUCUACAAAGCUGUUCCCAGAUGUAAAUAAUUCUUUAUCUGUAUUUUCUAAGGGGGAGUCCUGCAGGUCCAUUUGUCUAGAAUAGGUCUGCUCUAAAGUCUCCACACAAGUGUGUUUGUGUCUCUGAAGUGGGCGAGGGAACCAGGGCAGCAGGAUUCAAGGUCUAACACACCUUUAAGGUUCAGUCGAGGGUGUCUAGCAGCAGGGCCUGCUAUAAAGUUAGGCUUCCCCAGCCAGUGGUGCUCUUUUAUUUCUAACACAUUCCAGACCUGGUGAGGAGUGUCAACCUGAAGGGGUUGGCCUCAUGUGAGUUGGGAGGCCUCUCUGACCAGGAGGCUGGUGGCCACCACUGCCCUAAGUCAGCUUGGCCUUCCCUGGGCUACUGGGUCUCAUUGCUUUGAAAGUAACCACUGGCCAUUGGAUGGACUCCAGAUUCUGAAUUAGGACAUCCAGGGCUGGCCUGAACCUCUCCUAUACAUAUAGGAAGAAAGGCUUCUACAAUUGUGGGAGUCCUAGGUCAGGGGCCUUCCUAACUCAGAUUUUAGGGUUUCAUAUGCUUGCUGACAGGCUUCUACCCAGUGGGAUAAUUGGUUUUCUCCACUCUUGAGUGGGUUUAAGUAUGAGGCCAAAGUUUAGGAUCUAAACCCAGCAGAAGCCAGCCAUCUGCAGAAAUCCGUGCAGCUCUCUUCUACUACCAGGGACUAGUAGUGAAGCAAUGGCCCGCUUUCAGUCUGGGGCAAGCAUCCUGGCUUCUGGGGUAAGUAUGAACCCUAGUCAUCGAACCUGUGUCUGGGAGAUCUGGGCCUUUAAGGGGAAGACCUUAUAUUCCCAUUCAGCCAAGAAAUUUAAGGUUUUAAUAGUAUGUUCUUGAAAACUAUGGAAGCCCUCACUAGCAAUAAGCAAAUCAUCCACAUAUUGCAAUAAGAUUCCACUUGUAAGUUUAAGAUCUCUGAGGUCUUUUGCCAGGGCCUUCCCAGAGAGGUAGGAGCUAUCCUGAAACCCCUGGGGUAGCACUGUCCAGGUAUAUUGGGAAGUUUCCUGGGUCUCUGGAUACUUCCAUUCAAAGGCAAAAAUGUAGGAGAAUUUGGGAUGCAAUGGGAUACAAAAGUAAGUGUCCUCUAGAUCCAGCACCAUGUAGAACUGAGUGCGCCUAGGGAUCUGAGAGAGGAGUGUGGAUAGAUUGGGAACUAUAGGAUGACUGGGAACAACUGAGUCAUUCACUGCCCUAAGCCAUUCACUCCUAAAAGGAGUACCCUAAACCAGUACUCCCCUUUUGGUUUCUCCACAGGCAAGAUUGGGGUAUUACAAGGUGACUGGCAGGGCUGAAUAGGCCUGUGCUGUAGGAAUUUUUCCAGGAGGAGCUGUAUUCCCUGUAGGUCUUCUGUCCUCAAAGGGUAUUGGGGCUUGCAUGGGUAGGGUACACUUGGCUUAAGUUUUAUCUUAAUAGGCUCUGCAAUGAUGGCUUGUCUUAGAGUACUGGCAUCCCAUAUAAACUUUGCCACUUGACAUACUAUCUCUUCCAGGACAGGAGGUAGCUUCUGACCUUUGGGAGCCAGAAGGGCCAGUAAAUGGAUUCUCUUCUCGGAGGUACUGAGACUUAUAUUGCAUCCCCUGGAGGGAAACUGAGGCUCCCAGGUUGGAUAAUAAAUCAUAACCUAUUAAAGGAAGGGGACACUCAGGGAUAUAUAGGAAAGAAUGAGUAAUACCCUUAAAUCCAAUUUCACAAGUCAAAGGAAAGGCAAAUCAUUUUACCUUCUCCUGGCCAUCUAUUCCCAUCACCAUACAGUUGGCAUUGCAGAGGUCCCACAGGUUGGGUCAGGACAGAGUAGGUGGUCCCAGUAUCCAAUAGUUAUUCAGGUUUCCUGCCUGCUACAUUGAGAGUGACCUGAGGCUUUGCGGUGGUGAUGCCAACAGAACGCUUCAAGACUGCAGCUGGGAGAGCACUUGGGCUACAUCCAGCAGAGAGGGUGGCCUUUUCAUACAAGAGACUAGCAUCAAGAGGAGUGGGUUGGGGAGAUUCAUGCUGUCAUGACUUCACAGGAUGGAAUGAACAGUCCCUUUUCCAGUGCCCCUCUUUCUUAUAAUAAGAACAUUGGUUGUCCCUCAGUCCUAUUGCUGCUGGUUGAGGUCUGGUCACCCCUUGUCUGGAGUGUUUCUCCUGCCUAGGGUCACCUUGAGGCAGACCUGUAAUUAUGGCAGCCAAAAUUUUUGCCCGAUUUUUCAUUCUCUCAUCCUUUUUUUCCUCCCCUGCCUGGUCCUUAUUGUUAAAAACCUUAAAGGCCUCCGCUAUCCACGUCACCUGAGGUGUCUUGGGGUAAGCUUCCAGUUUCUGAACCUUUCUCCAAAUGUCGGGUGGAACUUGAGUUAUGAAAUGCAUGGUAGUUGUAUGUUCAUUUUUAUAAGAAACUGUCAAACUGUUUUCCAUAGUGGCUGUACCAUUUUAAAUUUUCACCAGCUGUGUAUGAGUGAUCCAGUUACUCUGCAUCCUUUUCAGGAUUUGGUGUUGUCACUAUUUUUUAUUCUAGCCAUUCUCAUAGGUAUGUGGUGAUAUCUCAUUGUGGCUUAAAUUUGCAUUUUAUAAAGGAUAAGGAUGGCCUGGGCGCAGUGGCUCACGUCUGUAAUCCCAGCACUUUGGGAGGCUGAGGCGGGUGGAUCACGAGGUCAGGAGAUUGAUACCAUGGUGAAACCCCAUCUCUACUAAAAAUACAAAAAAAAUUAGCCAGGCGCAGUGGCGGGCGCCUGUAGUCCCAGCUACACAGGAGGCUGAGGCAGGAGAAUGGCGUGAACCCAGGAGGCGGAGCUUGUAGUGAGCUGAGAUCGCGCCACUGCACUCCAGCCUGGGCGACAGAGUGAGACUCUGUCUCAAAAAAAAAAAAAAAAGGAUAAGGAUGUUGAUUAUUUUUUAAUGUGCUUAUUUGCCACUCACAUCUGCUUGCUGACAAAAUGUCUGUUUAUAUGCCUUGUCCAUGUUCUCAUUGAUUUUUUUUUUUUACUGUUGAGUUUUAAGAGUUCUUUGUAUAUUUUAGAUAAAACUCUUUGUCAGAUUGUGGCUUGUAAAUAUUUUCUCUUAGUCUGUAGCUUGUCUUUUCAUCCUAAUAACAGAGUCAAUAGCAAAGCAAAAGUCUUAAUGUUGGUGAGGUCCAGUUUAUCAAUUGUUCCUUCUAUGGAUUCAGCUUUUGGUGUCAAUUUUAAGAACUUUUUACCUAGCCCUAGAUGGUAUCUUUUUAUGUUUUUUAGUCUAGAGAUGUCAUCUUUUUAUUCCUGAUAUUGAUAAUUUGUGCCUUCUUACUCAUGAUCAAUCUUUCUAAGGAUUUAUAAGUUUUAUUAGUUUUUUCAAAUAAGCAACCUUUUAUUUUUAUUUUUUGAUGAAUUUUCUAUUAGUUUGAAUUUCUUCUUUCUGUGGAUAUAUUUGCUAUUCUUUUUCUAAUUUCUUGAAGUAGAUACUCAGUUCUCUGUCUUUAAGAAUUUUUCCCAUGAAUGGAUUAUUUUAGACCACAAGUUUCUCUUAAGCAUAUCUUUGUCACUAUACCGCAAGUAAUAAUAGGUCAUGUAAACAGUAUAAUUCUUUUUUGGAGAAACAGUGUAAUUAUUUUUGGACACUAUGUCAUGCAGGUUGGAGUGCAGUGGCAUGACCAUGGCUCACUGCAGCCUUAACCUUCUGGGCUCAGGUGAUCCUCCCACCUCCACCUCCAUAGCAGCUGGGACUACAGGUGGGCACUACCACACCUUGCCAGUUGUUAAAAUUUUCUGUAGAGACGGGUUCUCACUAUGUUGCCCAGGCUGCUAACUCAUGGGCUCAAGCAACCUUCCCACCUCACCCUCCCAAAGUGCUGGAAUUACUGGCAUGAGUCACUGUACCUUGCCUCAGUAUAAUUUAAUACAAAUAUUUUCCAACUUCCUUUGUGACUGUCUUCUGAGACUUAGAAUAUGCAUAAAUUUAUUUCUUAUCUUCCAAACCUUUGGGGAUAUUUUAUUUUUUGAUAUCGGUGUUUUAUUUAAUUGCAUUAUGGUCAAAAACUUGCCACACGAUUUCAAGUCAUUGACAUUGUGGAGAUUUGCUUUAUCCCCAGCAUAUGGACAAAAAUUUGAUGAACAUUCCAUGUACACUUGAAAAAAUUGUGACUUUUUAGUUGUUCGGUGCAGUGCCCUGUAUAUGUUAGUGGGCCAAGGUUGUUAAUGAUGUUCAAAUAUUGCAUAUUUUUAUUAAUUUGCUGGAUUGUUCUGUCACACACUGAAAGAAGUAUGUUGAAAUUUACCAUUUCAUCUUUUAUUUCUGUUAAUGUUUGCUUUAUAUAUUUUGAGGUUAUGUUAACAGAUGCAUACACAUUUAGAAUUAUUGUAUCCACCUGUUGGAUUUACCCUUUUGCAAUUAUGAAAAGCCCUCCAUUAUAGUAAUGUUUCCUGUAUCAACAUCACUUUUGUCUGACAGUAGAAACUCUGCCAGAUUCUUUCACUUAGUGUUUGCCUGGUGUUGACUCAGCUCCACACCAACCAUCCCCACUCCACCUCUGUGGCUGGCCCUAGCUCCGCAAACUCAUUUCUGCUGGGCCAGCUGGUGCUGUGCUAAAUUCUCCCACUAGGGGCACCAGAGAAAGCACGCAAGGCUGGGGAAGAUGGGGAAUGUGCUCCUUUCAGUUUGCUUCCGGUUUCUUUCCCAGGCUUCCGGUCUACCUGCCACUGGGGCCACGUGUCCUCUGGAUGCUGCUGGUUCACCUGGCAGUGGCACUUCCCCACCUAGCUGCUAAAACUGGGUUGCUGGUUCCCGACUCUGCAGAAUCAGCUUGAUCUCCCCGCUAGAGACCUCAAACCACUGCUAGGGACACCUCAUCUCGGGGGUCUGGGUUUCAGGCCGUAGGCCCUUCCAGCUCAGACCCUGGCAGCAGCUGCCAUCCCUCUUCAGAGGCCAGAUCCCAGUGUGGCAGCCGCCCUGGGGCACCUGGGGAGUGACUCAUUUUCAUGAAUUCCAGCUUAUUAGUUUUAUUAAUUCUCCCCUUUGUACCCCAGACUGAGUGGUGGUGGCUGCCUUGUGUGGUUGCUAUUUUCCUGAUACGUGGGCUGGCAAACCAAAACCUGAGACCACAGCCAGCUGCAGUCCUGUGUUCCUACAACCUGUGAGCUAAGAAUGUUAUUUAUUAAGUAGAAUAUUAAUAAAUAAAUAAUAAACUAUACUAUAGUAUCUAAAUGUGAAUUUUUUUUUUUUUACUUAAAGCAUCUUCCAUAGAUAUAUAUGAAAUUCAAAUACAUUUUAUUGGGACACACUGUUUUAAUUCAUUUUCAUAUUUAUUGCCUCUUAGCACAAUGCUUGAGCCUUGGAAUACUUUUAACUCCUUUCAUUCCUCUGUCACCUUCUGUGUUACUGUGGUCACAUACAAUUAUUCACACUACUUAUAUUCAUUAUAUUAAAUCUGCUGUAUGAUUUUUUACUUCUAUAUAUUAUAUCCCUAAAGUCCUUGUUAUUAUUGUCUUAUACAAUAGAUUUUUAUUUAUAUUAACUAAUAUUCUUUCCAUUGCUUAUGUUUGAUAUAACUUUUCAUCCACCUUUAGGAUUUCCUUUAGUGUGGUCUGAUGGUGAUACAUUCUAUGAGAGUGUGUUUCUUUCACUUUGUCUUUACUUUUGCAUUUUGAAGGGUAUUUUGUUUUGUAGAACGCUCUAGAAUUAGCAGUGAUUUUCUUCCAGCAGUUUCACAAUGUUCUUCCAUUGUCUUUUCUCAUUGCUUACUUUCUCUUUUUGGAACCCGGGUAUUAUUCUUAUUGUUGCUCCUUUAAGUAUUGUGGCUGUUUGCUCUGACUGCUUUUAAGACUUUCUCUUUAUUCUUGGGUUUCAGAAGUUUUGCAAUGAUGUAUCCAGGUAUGAUUUUUCCUUGUAUCAAUUCUGCUUCAGUUUCUCAGAGUUUCUCAAAUCUGUGGUUAUUUUCUAUCAGUUUUCAAAAAUGAUCUCCUGUAUCUUCAAAUAUUGUGUCUGUCCCUUUCUCUUAGUGGAUCCAUGGUCUAUCAGUUAGCUACUGCUGCAUAAUUAGCCGCCCCAAAGCCCACUGAUGUGAAACAUCCAUUUUUGUAUUAUCACUCAUGGAUCUGUGGGUAGGCCCAGCUCAGCUGGGUAGCUCCGCUUCUCACUACAGAUCUUGAGUCUACUGGGAUGGUUCUACAACCCACGUCUCUCUUCCUCCUGGUACAAGUGGUCUAGCUGAAGCAUUUUCUUCUCAGGAUGAUGGUGGGGGCACGAGAGAAAUCCCAAUCACACAAGCUCAUCUCAUGUCUUUGCUUGUGUCACUUCUGCUAAUGUCAUUGCCUGAAGCAAGUCAUGUGACAGUAUCCAACGUGAAUAUCAGGGAACUAAACCAAGUCUUUGGCUGGAGGAACUGCAAAGUUACAUGGCAGAGGGUAUUGUAUAGCAGGGGUCCCCAACUCCACAGUCCAUGGCCUAUGAGGAGCCAGGCCACAUAGCAGGAAGUGAGUGGCAGGCGAGCAAGGAUUCCAGCCUGAGGUCUGCCUCCUGUCAGAUGAGCAGUGGCAUCAGAUUCUUGUAGGAGCACAAACCGUAUUGUAAACUGUGCAUGUGAGGGAUUUGGGUUGCAUGCUCCUUAUGAGAAUCUGAUGAUCUGAGGUGGAACAGUUUCAUCCCGAAACCAUCCUUCUGCCUCAUCCAUGGAAAAAUUGUCUUCCAUGAAACUGGCCCCUGGUACCAAAAAGGUUGGGGACUGCUGAUGUAUAGCAAAGGCUGAAGAAACAGAGUCAAUAAUUACAUCGACUUAUAUACAACUAUGCCAGACCUUGUCUCCAUGUCCCAGGUACCAAGGCUUUUUCUGUAUUUUCCAUUCUCUUUUUAAAUUUUGUGAUCUUCAGUCUGAUGGUUCCUACCUACCAUUCUUCUUGUUUACUCUUCCUUUCUCUGAUUGUCUAAUAUGCCAUUAAAUUCACCUCUUGGGCCUUUCUGUCAUACCCUUGAUUUCUAUUUCAUUAACUUCUACCACUUUGUUAUUUUCUUCAUACCUACUUUCUGACUUUUAAAGCGGAAUUUUGUUGUUGUUUGCUUUUGAAGUAGGGUCUCGCUUUGUCGCCCGGCUGGAGUGCAGUGGUACGAUCACGGCUUGCUGCAGCCUUGACCUCCUGGGCUCACGGCAUCCUCCCAUUUCAGCCUCCUGAAUAGCUGGGACUACAGGUGUGCGCCAUCAUGCCCAUCUACGUUUUGCAUUUUUUGUAGAGAUGGGGUCUCAUUUCGUUGCCCAGACUGGUCUCAAACUCCUGGGCUCAAGCGAUUCGCCAGACUUGGCCUCCCAAAGUGCUAGGAUUACAGGCGUGAGCUCACACGCUUGGCAAAAUCGAAUGUUUAAUGUAUUAAUUUUCCAAUUUUCUUCUCUCCUAUUAUAAACAUUUAAAUUUCUAACUGCUUAUAAAUUUCUCCUUGAGUACUGCUUUAGCUUUACCCUGAAGGUUUUUUUUUUUUUCAUUUUGGUAUAGAUUUUUAACUGUUCAAUUUAAAGUAUUUUAAAAUUUUCAGUUUGGUUCCCUCCUCCAAUUGUUUUAGAGACAGGGUUUUGCUCUGUCACCCAGGCUGGAGUGCAGUGGCCCAAUCAUACCUCACUGUAACUCGAACUCCUGGGCUCAAUCAACCCUCCUGCCUCAGCCUCCCAAAUAGCUAGUACCAUAGGCAUGCAACACCACACUCAGGUAUCUUAAAAUUUUUUGUAGGGAUGGGGUAUUGUCAUCUUGCCCUUGCUGGUCUCAAACUCCUUGGCUCAAGCAAUACUCCUACCUCAGCCCCUCAAAGCUCUGGGUAGUUUUCCAUCUUUGAGAAGAAGGCCUGAUCUGUAAUUGUUGGGUGCAAGGUCCCACAUAUGUAUAUUCAGUCAGUCUUGUCAGUUAUCUUGUUCAGUGUUUUCACUAUACUUUGCAUUCUAGAUCUAUCAAUUAUUGAGCAAUGUGUGUUAAAAUAUUUCAUUACAUUGUCAGUUUUGUCAAUUUUUCCCCGUAUUUACAACAUCUUUUACUUCCUUAUAUUGAAACACCUCU